AAGUUCACGUAUUAAAUGGCCAC
This 23-nucleotide non-coding RNA is filed under the name Arabidopsis thaliana (thale cress). Lineage: Eukaryota; Viridiplantae; Streptophyta; Magnoliopsida; Brassicales; Brassicaceae. The record is from RNAcentral.